Molecule: ribosomal RNA, 467 nt
Filed under: uncultured bacterium
Lineage: Bacteria
Description: partial 16S ribosomal RNA
Rfam family: Bacterial small subunit ribosomal RNA
Source: RNAcentral
ACGCACGCUUGCGGCGUGCUUAACCCAUGCCAGUCGCACGGAAAGGCCCUGCUUUUGUGGGGUGCUCGAGUGGCGAACGGGUGAGUAACACGUGAGUAACCUGCCCUUGACUUUGGGAUAACUUCAGGAAACUGGGGCUAAUACCGGAUAGGAGCUCCUGCUGCCUGGUGGGGGUUGGAAAGUUUCGGCGGUUGGGGAUGGACUCGCGGCUUAUCAGCUUGUUGGUGGGGUAGUGGCUUACCAAGGCUUUGACGGGUAGCCGGCCUGAGAGGGUGACCGGCCACAUUGGGACUGAGAUACGGCCCAGACUCCUACGGGAGGCAGCAGUGGGGAAUAUUGCACAAUGGGCGGAAGCCUGAUGCAGCAACGCCGCGUGCGGGAUGACGGCCUUCGGGUUGUAAACCGCUUUCGCCUGUGACGAAGCGUGAGUGACGGUAAUGGGUAAAGAAGCACCGGCUAACUACGUG